Molecule: ribosomal RNA, 301 nt
Filed under: uncultured bacterium
Lineage: Bacteria
Description: partial 16S ribosomal RNA
Rfam family: Bacterial small subunit ribosomal RNA
Source: RNAcentral
CAGCAGCCACGGUAAUACGGAGGGAGCUAGCGUUGUUCGGAAUUACUGGGCGUAAAGCGCGCGUAGGCGGUUACUCAAGUCAGAGGUGAAAGCCCGGGGCUCAACCCCGGAACUGCCUUUGAAACUAGGUGACUAGAAUCUUGGAGAGGUCAGUGGAAUUCCGAGUGUAGAGGUGAAAUUCGUAGAUAUUCGGAAGAACACCAGUGGCGAAGGCGACUGACUGGACAAGUAUUGACGCUGAGGUGCGAAAGCGUGGGGAGCAAACAGGAUUAGAGACCCCGGUAGUCCCUGUCUCUUAUAA